GUCGAGAAUCUUUCACAAUGGGGGCAACCCUGAUGGAGCGACGCCGCGUGGAGGAUAAGGUCUUCGGAUUGUAAACUCCUGUCAUGCGUGAACAAGGUUGCUUGGUUAAUACCUGGGCAAAUUGAUGGUAACGCAAGAGGAAGAGACGGCUAACUCUGUGCCAGCAGCCGCGGUAAUACAGAGGUCUCAAGCGUUGUUCGGAAUCACUGGGCGUAAAGGGUGCGUAGGUGGCGUGGUAAGUCAGAUGUGAAAGCCCGGGGCUCAACCUCGGAACUGCAUCCGAUACUGCCAUGCUAGAGGAAUGGAGAGGUGACUAGAAUUCUCGGUGUAGCAGUGAAAUGCGUAGAUAUCGAGAGGAAUACCAAAGGCGUAGGCAGGUCACUGGACAGUUACUGACACUGAGGCACGAAGGCCAGGGGAGCGAACGGGAUUAGAAACCCCGGUAGUCC
Molecule: ribosomal RNA, 449 nt
Filed under: uncultured bacterium
Lineage: Bacteria
Description: partial 16S ribosomal RNA
Rfam family: Bacterial small subunit ribosomal RNA
Source: RNAcentral